CCCAUUAAGGUGUGUGAUAAUGUGUCCAAUGUUCUAAAUAGGCAUUGAAGGUAUCAUACAUCUGGUGUCUAUUGGGUAUUGAAAUUAUCAUUCAUCAUAUGAUCACCUUGUUGUGCCCUUCAGAUCAAUGGUCAGAUUGGUCGAGCCACACUCAGACCUGGACAUUCAUUUGUUGGAUGCAUUUGGUGUCGUCAUGUUAAUGAUUGGAUCUAACUAGAAUUUUCAGUGGAGGCGUCAUACUCUUGCUGAAGAGAUGCUUGGGGCAAAACUUAAUUGCU
Molecule: long non-coding RNA, 278 nt
Filed under: Elaeis guineensis (African oil palm)
Lineage: Eukaryota; Viridiplantae; Streptophyta; Magnoliopsida; Arecales; Arecaceae
Description: long non-coding RNA (EGUI_LNC063744)
Source: RNAcentral